RNAcentral lists this ribosomal RNA (281 nucleotides) under Segatella copri DSM 18205. RNAcentral describes it as "Prevotella copri DSM 18205 partial 16S ribosomal RNA". It matches the Rfam family "Bacterial small subunit ribosomal RNA", at positions 524 to 805 of the family's 1533-position model. The record is from RNAcentral. Lineage: Bacteria; Pseudomonadati; Bacteroidota; Bacteroidia; Bacteroidales; Prevotellaceae.
UACGGAAGGUCCGGGCGUUAUCCGGAUUUAUUGGGUUUAAAGGGAGCGUAGGCCGGAGAUUAAGCGUGUUGUGAAAUGUAGACGCUCAACGUCUGCACUGCAGCGCGAACUGGUUUCCUUGAGUACGCACAAAGUGGGCGGAAUUCGUGGUGUAGCGGUGAAAUGCUUAGAUAUCACGAAGAACUCCGAUUGCGAAGGCAGCUCACUGGAGCGCAACUGACGCUGAAGCUCGAAAGUGCGGGUAUCGAACAGGAUUAGAUACCCCGAUCGGCUGACUGACU